This is a long non-coding RNA of Micropterus salmoides (largemouth bass), 504 nucleotides long. RefSeq lists it as uncharacterized. The record is from RefSeq and is a predicted model, not a curated record. The transcript is spliced from 2 exons. NCBI's taxonomy places the organism in Eukaryota, Metazoa, Chordata, Actinopteri, Centrarchiformes, Centrarchidae.
AUGAUUUUGUUGACCCCCACACUCACUUCCUCUAGCACCACCUCUAGCAAGUCAGUGGUUUUCAGUGAAAUGUCUCAAUAACUAUUGCUAUGAAAUGUGGCACAAACAUUUGUGUUGUGGUCCUGCAGUAUCUCCUCCUCAUCCCUUCUGUUCUCCUACUGUUUUUCACUUCCCUGUGUUUCCCAUUAGUCUCUCUGUCUCUCUCUGUUGUCUGUGUGUUGUCUGUCUGGGGUAGCUUCACACUCUGGCUCCUGCUGACAAUCUCCACCUGCUCACCUGCCCUGCAUUCAACUAAUCAAGAAGCUGCAGUAUAUCAACCCCGGCUCUUCACCUCAUUCUCUGCCAGAUUGUCAGUUAACCUCAAGACCAUGUGUACCUGGAACUCCUUUACUGUCUGCCCUGUCUGACCUGCCUGCCUUUUCCUGGUUGCCACGCUGCUCCACUGCCUACGCCCCAUCUGACUUUUCCCCAUGAAAGAUUAAAAUAAACUAUGUUUGACUGCCA